RNAcentral lists this ribosomal RNA (440 nucleotides) under uncultured bacterium. Its description in RNAcentral is "bacterial SSU rRNA". It matches the Rfam family "Bacterial small subunit ribosomal RNA", at positions 29 to 520 of the family's 1533-position model. The record is from RNAcentral.
AGCGAACGCUGGCGGCAGGCCUAACACAUGCAAGUCGAACGGAUCCUUCGGGAUUAGUGGCGGACGGGUGAGUAACACGUGGAACGUGCCUUUUGGUUCGGAACAACUCAGGGAAACUUGAGCUAAUACCGAAUGUGCCCUUCGGGGAAGAUUUAUCGCCAUUAGAGCGGCCCGCGUCUGAUUAGCUAGUUGGUGAGGUAGAGGCUCACCAAGGCUACGAUCAGUAGCUGGUCUGAGAGGAUGAUCAGCCACAUUGGGACUGAGACACGGCCCAAACUCCUACGGGAGGCAGCAGUGGGGAUCUUGCGCAAUGGGCGAAAGCCUGACGCAGCCAUGCCGCGUGAAUGAUGAAGGUCUUAGGAUUGUAAAUUCUUUCACCGGGGACGAUAAUGACGGUACCCGGAGAAGAAGCCCCGGCUAACUCGUGCCAGCAGCCGCGG